AUUGAACGCUGGCGGCAGGCUUAACACAUGCAAGUCGAGCGGGGGAAGGUAGCUUGCUACCGGACCUAGCGGCGGACGGGUGAGUAAUGCUUAGGAAUCUGCCUAUUAGUGGGGGACAACAUCUCGAAAGGGAUGCUAAUACCGCAUACGUCCUACGGGAGAAAGCAGGGGAUCUUCGGACCUUGCGCUAAUAGAUGAGCCUAAGUCGGAUUAGCUAGUUGGUGGGGUAAAGGCCUACCAAGGCGACGAUCUGUAGCGGGUCUGAGAGGAUGAUCCGCCACACUGGGACUGAGACACGGCCCAGACUCCUACGGGAGGCAGCAGUGGGGAAUAUUGGACAAUGGGGGGAACCCUGAUCCAGCCAUGCCGCGUGUGUGAAGAAGGCCUUAUGGUUGUAAAGCACUUUAAGCGAGGAGGAGGCUACUUUAGUUAAUACCUAGAGAUAGUGGACGUUACUCGCAGAAUAAGCACCGGCUAACUCUGUGCCAGCAGCCGCGGUAAUACAGAGGGUGCGAGCGUUAAUCGGAUUUACUGGGCGUAAAGCGUGCGUAGGCGGCUUAUUAAGUCGGAUGUGAAAUCCCCGAGCUUAACUUGGGAAUUGCAUUCGAUACUGGUGAGCUAGAGUAUGGGAGAGGAUGGUAGAAUUCCAGGUGUAGCGG
This 659-nucleotide ribosomal RNA is filed under the name Acinetobacter baumannii OIFC083. RNAcentral describes it as "bacterial SSU rRNA". It matches the Rfam family "Bacterial small subunit ribosomal RNA", at positions 28 to 681 of the family's 1533-position model. Lineage: Bacteria; Pseudomonadati; Pseudomonadota; Gammaproteobacteria; Moraxellales; Moraxellaceae. The record is from RNAcentral.